UGUUGAAUUUCUCGACGUCAAAAGGAAAGAUGGCGUUGAUGGGUGCGCACGGUUGCUAAAUUUUCUCAGGCGUUUUUAAUUAUUCAGAAUACAUAAUUGAUGUUAAAUGAAAUUAGAGUUUUUAAAAAGUUGAAUUUCUCGCAAGUUGUGUACGUGCUUUGUGAAUUUCGAGUCGAGAUGCAAUGAUUUCAUGCAGAAAACUCGAAACACUUCAAACUUUUGAAAGGAAAAUUCCAAUUCAGUUUUUCUGUGUAUACGUGAAUGGAAAAAAUUUGCAACACCCUAGAAAUAUGUACUCGAAUCGAAUGUAAAUAUUAAGAAAAAUUAUCUGUAUCAUAAAUAAAUGUUAAAUAAGUGCCAAGUGUUUUAUUAUAAAUUGAUUAAGUGUUUAGUUUCUGUGGUGUACUUUUAAAAAAAGUGAAUGAUUGACAUUUGCUCAUUAUCAUAUUAGUUAAAAAAAUCCUACUUCAAGUGAGAAAUCCCCCAGCGGAAACACCCUUCAUCAACUUUUUGCAGCUGUGUAUUUGCUGUGGUAGGGUACAAGGACGAAAGGAAUACAUAUUCAUUCACAACUUUAAAACAUAGCGAACACUUGUACAUAGUGAACACUUACACAUAGUGAACACUUGCUUUAAAGUCGCAUUCAACUUGUAAAUUCAUAUGUAGCUUCUUUAACCCUCAAAAUACCAAUUGAAAGGAUAUGAACGAUCAGAACUUAACCACUGUCUUACAAUUAUCGUAUGAAAAUUUUCAAAUCAACGAAAAUUAUUGAAGACCAUUUAUCAAUUGCACUUCCGAGGAUGCGAUGCUAAAUAACCAAAUCAAUACACUAAAUCGAUAAUGUAAUAUAAGCCCCUUUGGGAGUAAAGGGUCAACGGACAACGAAACAGUUAUUUGAGCAUACCAAUUUACGUAAAAUUUAGUUUAAUAUAAAUUGAUUUUAACUUGUUUUAAACAAAUUUAAAAAUAAAACUUGCCGCAUAACAAAACCACGAAAUUAAACUUGGUCAAAAAAAAAGAAAGAAAAAAAACAAAAGAAAACGUAGAAACCAGUUAAUCGACUAAUCGAAAAUAUAAAACGCCCACAUUCAUUCCAAAUAAAAUACACUCGGGAAAAUAGAAGAAAGAAAUGUUGAAAAAUACAAAGCAAAUGAUCCGAGCAAGGAAGCAACAAAUCCAAUGUGAAAAUAAUAUUAUAUGAUGCUCAUGUUUGAUUAAAUUGUGCAAUAAAUACGUAGGCUAAUGAUUGUAAAAUAAAAUUUGUUUUAAAUAUAAUAGUAGCAAUAGGUAUCUUUAAAGUUGUGUUUAUUAAUUGUGUGACUAGAAGAGUGCGUUAUCAGUUUAUUAAUAUAUAAAUACUAAGCUAUUAGAUCAAUUCCAACCUAAUUCACUUAAUCAAAGUCAUAAACAGUACAAAAAUAAAUGUAAUCGGAAAGAAGAGUUUGUGUUUCAAGCAAGAAUAUAAGUCCGUUUUUACAAUAUACUUUAGCUUGAAGUGCAUCUACAACCGUCAGUAAAACAAUUUGUGUUGAAAAUCCAUAAAAAUUCUGGUCUAUAAAAUGUCUUUGGCCGAUAUGGGUACAGCGACUCGAGAUGGCGGCAUGGGCGGCGGCGGCGGUGGUGGUGUUGGUCUCAGCGGUGUGGAUGUUAGCAUGGGUGUACCAGGUGGACGUAUGACACAUUCGCUAAGUACUCCGUCUGGGGUCGAUGGUACGCCCUCCACUCCUCGACAUCGUGGUGGCAAAAAGUUAACCGUUCGCAUACAGAUGUUGGAUGAUUCGGUGACCAUGUUUCAAGUACAAGCAAAAGCACUUGGGCGUGUGCUUUUCGACCAGGUUUGUCGUCAACUGAAUUUGCUUGAGGCCGAUUACUUUGGUUUAGAGUAUCAGGAAAUAUCUACACACACCAAAUAUUGGCUAGACCUUGAGAAACCGUUAAAUCGGCAAGUUGGUCUGUCGCUUAUCGAUCCAGUGCUGCGUUUCUGCGUUAAAUUUUACACUCCGGAUCCGGCGCAGCUUGAGGAAGAGUAUACGAGGUAUCUAUUCUGUUUGCAAAUUAAACGAGACUUGGCCAAUGGCAAUUUGCAGUGCAACGACAACACCGCAGCUCUCAUGGCCAGUUACAUAGUGCAAGCAUCGUGUGGCGAUUAUGUGCCUGAAGAUUAUCCUGAUCACACAUAUUUGUCAUCAUAUCGCUUUGUGCCUCAUCAGGAUGCUACAAUGCAGCGCAAAAUAAUGGAAAAUCACAAAAAGCACGUUGGCCAAUCUCCUGCUGAGGCCGAUUUGAAUCUUUUGGAGACGGCUAGACGGUGUGAAUUGUAUGGAAUGAAAAUGCAUCCUGCAAAGGAUGUUGAAGGUGUGCCACUCAAUUUAGCUGUUGCUCACAUGGGUAUUGCUGUUUUCCAAAAUAUCACACGCAUUAAUACUUUCUCCUGGGCAAAAAUACGUAAAAUUUCAUUUAAGCGAAAGCGUUUUCUAGUGAAGCUACAUCCCGAAGGAUAUGGUUAUUACAAAGACACAGUUGAGUUCUUUUUUGAGGGGCGUAAUGAGUGUAAGAACUUUUGGAAGAAAUGCGUCGAGAAUCAUGGAUUCUUCCGCUGUGCUGCUGUGCAGAAUCAACCUAGACGGAAGGCGCGUGUUUUAUCCCGGGGAAGUUCAUUCCGCUAUAGUGGAAAGACACAAAAACAGAUAAUCGAAUUUGUUCGUGAAAACUAUGUGAAACGGCAGAACUUCCAAAGGUCACAGUCAUUCCGGCAAGGGCCAUUGAAUGCUAGUAGUCGAAGUCAGUCGCAUACCUAUGUGAACUCCAGCAUUUCAGCCAAUCCCCUUCUCCCAAUUGACACUGCGGACUGGGAUUAUCGCAAUCAAUGCACCGGCUCGACGACGCUUUCUCUGACGAAGAAGGCAGCGGAUACCUUGGAUCGCCGACAAGACAAUCCUAUAGACCACACGCGUUCUCAAGUCACAGCAGCCCAGGUGGAGAUCUAUCAGACGAAGAACUAUGCUCCGGAAUCGCCAACAUUGGCGGAGGACCAGGAACGCCCCUCGGCAGUGGCUAUGGACCAAAUGAAUUCGAACCGCUCUGUCUCUCCGCAGGGUCCGGGGUCGUGGAGUUCACCCAAUCACAGCAGUCAGCAGCACAACAGUAUGCGCGCCCAAGAUCAGGCUCGUGCGCAUCCAGGAGAUCACAGUUUAGAUUACCACGGCAUUAAUGGCAACAUGUCACUGGAUCGACGUGGGGAAGUGGGCACGCCGCAAAAUCGCUAUGAUCUAACAUUGGGAUCGGAUAAGUCGUCAUCGCUAUCUCGCUCAGAAGCCGGUACUUAUGAUGUAAUACAAGCUGAAAUACAACAUGCUAAGCGUCAUGAGUUACCUACGUGUGUUGCCAUGUCUAAUAAUAAUAAUGGUCCAAAUGCUGGCAACUCGGUGGAUGUUGAAAACGAUUCAAAGAAGAGAAAAUGGCCUACAGAGAAAUCUUACUUUUUGGCUAAAGAACUGCUUAUGACCGAACGUACAUACAAAAAAGACUUGGAAAUACUGAAUAAAUCAUUCCGUCAGGAGUUAUAUUCAGAAGAUAUAGAUAAUUUGCAACCUCUCUUCGACUUCCUCGACUCAAUGGCUCAGCAUCACAACACAUUCUUACGCGAGAUCGAGCAUCGUAUGGUGCUCUGGGAGGGGCGCGGAACGCACGAUACCCAUCGGAUUGGCGAUGUAAUGAUGAAAAAUAUUGCGGUUCUGCCUAUAUACGACGAAUAUGUACAAUCGCACAUGGAAAUCUUGUAUUGCAUGAAUGAAGUUUUUGAAACAGAUAAUCGGUUCCAGCAGACAUACAAAGAUUUUGAACAACGAAAACUGUGCUAUCUACCGAUCGGUGAACUACUUCUAAAACCACUAAAUCGCAUAUUACACUACCAACUCAUCUUGGAGCGAUUGUGUGAUUUCUAUACUGAGGAGCACAUCGACUAUUGUGAUUGUCAAGCUGUUUAUCACAUUCUACUAAGAACAACAAAACAGAUUCGUGAACAAUUGCCAGAGUCGGAAAAUUUCGUGCAACUUUGCGAAUUGCAACGGGACAUCUCUGGUUUUGACAAGUUGGUUCAAAACCAAAGGAGACUGAUCAGACAAGGCUGUCUACUUAAACAUUCGAAACGAGGACUGCAACAGCGUAUGUUCUUUUUAUUUUCAGAUAUUCUACUUUACGGCACCAAAUCACCUGUCGAUCAGUCAUUCCGCAUUUUUGGUCAUGUACCAGUGCGUUCAUUACUCACAGAAAAUGCUGAACACAAUACAUUCUCUAUAUUUGGUGGACAAUGUGCAAUUACAGUGAGUGCGGGCACCACUGCUGAAAAAACGCUUUGGCUGGCUGAACUAUCGAAGGCGGCAGCAGAUAUCAAAAAUAAACCCCCAGCACAAUUGACCUUAACUUCGCUGAAGAAUUGCAGCUCGUCAGAGGAGGGUCUCGAUUUGUGCGGUUUAACGAACGGUCUGACCGCUCAGCAAUUACAACAGCAACAGCAACAAAAUUUACAAAACAAAACGCCACCCUCGCGCAGCAACACUGCUCUACACGUUUGUUGGCAUCGUGGCGCCACCGUCGGCUUGGGCGAUCAUCUCAUAUCCGCUGAAAAUCAACUUUCUGGUUAUUUGUUGCGUAAAUUCAAGAACAGCUCUGGCUGGCAAAAGCUAUGGGUGGUCUUCACGUCGUUCUGCUUGUAUUUCUAUAAAAGUUAUCAGGAUGAAUUUGCAUUAGCGAGUUUGCCAUUAUUGGGAUAUUCUGUUGGUCCACCUGGCCAUCAGGAUGCUGUACAAAAGGAAUUCGUUUUCAAAUUGUCAUUUAAGAAUCAUGUAUAUUUCUUCCGCGCUGAAAGCGUCCACACUUAUAAUCGUUGGCUUGAAGUGCUGCGAAGUACUACUCAAACACAAGAUUUCAAGAAUAUAAAUACAACUACCGUUCACUGAAGUUAUCAUAUAUCUCCAUCGAGCUGGCGUAUUCACCUCUUGCGAACCACGAGAUACUACGACUACACAAGUACAUGUACACACAUAUGUACAUAUAUAUACGAAAUAAAUGGUAGUGCUCAUAUAUACAUACAUACAUAUGUAAUAAGUUUAUAUUGCUAAGGUUUUUUCAUCAAAUGGAAGGACCUAAAAGUUUUUCAAAGCCGCCAGCACACGGUAAUGGUAGUACACACUGCUAACCACUGCAGUAAUGGGGUCGGCAGGAAUAUUUUCCUUAAAUUGUUGGACUCAUACUAUGGUUUUCAUAUUGUUUAAUUUUUACUUGGUCUUAAUAUUAAAUGCUUGUUGCAUAUGAUUUUUCUUUUUAUUUUUAUAAAAUCAUAACUUUUUUACACACUUGACAAGGUUUUAUUUUUACACAAUUGUUAGUCUCGCUAGAUUCCUUGUAUAUAUCUUGUAGCAAUAUGGAAGAAUUACAUAUGUAUAUAUGUCGUGUUAUACACACACCAUUAAAAUAUAAAGCAAUACUUGGAAAAAAGUUGCUACAAAAAUGCUUUAAAAAAAAAAAGAAGUGCCUUUAAGUAUUUUUUACUCUUUACCCCUAACUACAUAAAAGUUAACAUAUAUUAUAUAAAUAUAUACAUAUUUUAUAUAUAACGACAACCUUUUAAGAGUUUACUCGUAUAUUGAUUCCUUAGAAUGAAAAUAUUUUUCGAUUUCAUAUGUAUAUAUAUAGUAUACUAUAUUGAAAAAAAUUACUCUGCAGUGAAAACCUAAACUAGUAUUUAAAGAAUGAAAAUAUCUUGAAAUUCACUAUAAGCGAGAAUAAUAUAAGUGGCAACUGGUGUAUAUUAUUUUUUUUUAUCCACUACCACUGAUUUGUUCUACUUUGAGACACCCUUUGUUAUAAGUGCACCCUUUUGGUUUUGCUUCUUUAUCAAUCUCUAUCAAACAAGAGACUAAGGUUCUGUCAUUUAGUAGGCCAUAAGAGAAUGACUAGAACUAGCAGUUUUCCUGCAGGGUAUAUAAAUACAUAAAUGCUUAAACGCAAUAGUGAAUUAAUACACGAAGAAAAUGUAUUGAACGAAUACUUAUUUAUAUACAUAUACACUGAAACGACAUAGAAAGAAAAAUGUAGCAAGAAAUAAAACAUUUCAAUAUUUGCAUUUAUCUUAGUAUUUUAAGGUUACGAAAAUUAUUUCCGUAACAAAUUCCACAAUUUAUAUUGACGGCCAAAAGUGCAUAUAUUUUUAAAACUUUUGUUAGUAUUAUUUUAUGUACUAAAUUUUAAUCGAAAUUUAACUACGAAUCUGAAAAUAAACUUUAAAAUUAAAAUUUCCAAAACCAAAAAACUAACAAUAUUUGAAAACGUUGAGAAAGUGUAGUAUAAAUUGAUUUUGAUACAGUAGAACUGAACAUCUUAAUAAACUAUGCAUAUAUAGUAUAAUGUUAAUAAAUUUUCAAUUAUAUAAUCGAUUAUAAACUAAUAAAGAAUCUAGAUCAUGUACCAAAUAAAAUA
This 6477-nucleotide unclassified non-coding RNA is filed under the name Ceratitis capitata (Mediterranean fruit fly). RNAcentral's name for it is "fERM, ARHGEF and pleckstrin domain-containing protein 1, transcript variant X3". The record is from RNAcentral. Lineage: Eukaryota; Metazoa; Arthropoda; Insecta; Diptera; Tephritidae.